CCCUUAGAUGUUCUGGGCCGCACACGCGCUACACUGAAGGAGGCAGCGUGUACUCCUGGAUCGAAAGAUUUGGGUAACCCGCGAAUCUCCUUCGCGCUAGGGAUUGAGGUUUGCAAUUAUCCUUCAUGAACGAGGAAUUCCCAGUAAGUGCAAGUCAUAAGCUUGCGCUGACUACGUCCCUGCCCUUUGUACACACCGCCCGUCGCUACUACCGAUUGAAUGAUUUAGUGAGGACUUCGGACUGGGACCGAUGCGGCUUUCGGGCUGCGUCGGUAUUCUGGAAAGAUGUCCAAACUGUAUCAUUUAGAGGAAGUAAAANUCGUANCA
This 327-nucleotide ribosomal RNA is filed under the name uncultured eukaryote. RNAcentral's name for it is "partial 18S ribosomal RNA". It matches the Rfam family "Eukaryotic small subunit ribosomal RNA", at positions 1470 to 1796 of the family's 1831-position model. The record is from RNAcentral.